This 317-nucleotide long non-coding RNA is filed under the name Trifolium pratense (red clover). RNAcentral's name for it is "long non-coding RNA (TPRA_LNC014419)". Lineage: Eukaryota; Viridiplantae; Streptophyta; Magnoliopsida; Fabales; Fabaceae. The record is from RNAcentral.
GCCGGUGACUUUGUUCCCUGUUCCUCUCUUUCUUCUAACAAGUUCAUCUUUUUCUUUUCUCCUUCUUCUAAUCUACUUAAGUGAUUGUUCGGAAGCUUCCUAGUUAACCAUUCCAACCCCAUCUUCUUUCUCUUCACAACUUCCAUUUUUUUUUAAGCCAUUUCUCUUUCACGUAAAGAAUCUUAAUCAAUCAUGUGAUGGAGGAAUUUGGGGUAAUUUUCUUGCGAUUAGAAUUCUGAAUCGAUUAUGGUGAUGGGGAAAUUUGGGAUAAUUUUCUGGGUUUAGGGUAGAAAAAAUAAAUUGGGGAAUUUGGGGGA